This 220-nucleotide non-coding RNA is filed under the name Streptomycetaceae bacterium MP113-05. RNAcentral's name for it is "Streptomyces sRNA 4677". It matches the Rfam family "Streptomyces sRNA 4677". Rfam says of the family: Located in the intergenic region between anti-sigma factor SCO4677 gene and a putative regulatory protein gene SCO4676. scr4677 expression requires the SCO4677 activity and scr4677 sRNA itself seem to affect the levels of the SCO4676-associated transcripts. The record is from Rfam by way of RNAcentral. Lineage: Bacteria; Bacillati; Actinomycetota; Actinomycetes; Kitasatosporales; Streptomycetaceae.
CGUCCCGGUGGGGCACGACACCUAUAAGAGAACUGAGAAAAAACCAACCCCACCCAACCCCGACCCCAACUACCCCAGUCACACGUAUGGGUGACGGUGCGUCCGAAAGGCGGAUAGGUGGGGUACGGUCGGUCGUAACAACCUCACACAACCAGACGACCCCCGGCAGGACGGCAAUCCUGACGAGGGCCUGACCACCCAGGAAGAAGAGACCUUCCCG